RNAcentral lists this ribosomal RNA (422 nucleotides) under uncultured eukaryote. Its description in RNAcentral is "bacterial SSU rRNA". It matches the Rfam family "Eukaryotic small subunit ribosomal RNA", at positions 592 to 1018 of the family's 1831-position model. The record is from RNAcentral.
CAAUAGCGUAUAUUAAAGUUGUUGCGGUUAAAAAGCUCGUAGUUGGAUUUCUGCCGAGGACGACCGGUCCGCCCUCUGGGUGAGUAUCUGGUUCGGCCUGGGCAUCUUCUUGGAGAACGUAUCUGCACUUGACUGUGUGGUGCGGUAUCCAGGACUUUUACUUUGAGGAAAUUAGAGUGUUUCAAGCAGGCAUUUGCUCUGAAUACAUUAGCAUGGAAUAAUGAUAUAGGACUUUGGUUCUAUUUUGUUGGUUUCUAGGACUGAAGUAAUGAUUGAUAGGGAUCGUUGGGGGUGCUAGUAUUGAGCGGCCAGAGGUGAAAUUCUUGGAUUCGCUCAAGACUAACUUAUGCGAAAGCAUUCACCAAGGAGAUCUUCUUUAAUCAAGAACGAAAGUUGGGGGAUCAAAGAUGAUUAGAUACCAU